AGAAUCAACGCUGGCGGCGUGCCUAACACAUGCAAGUCGCACGAGAAAGGGGAGCAAUCCCUGAGUAAAGUGGCGCACGGGUGAGUAACACGUGAAUGAUCUACCUCCGAGUGGGGAAUAACUGAGAGAAAUCUUAGCUAAUACCGCAUAACACUUACGAGUCAAAGCAGCAAUGCGCUUGGAGAGGAGUUCGCGGCCGAUUAGCUAGUUGGCGGGGUAAUGGCCCACCAAGGCGAUGAUCGGUA
RNAcentral lists this ribosomal RNA (245 nucleotides) under uncultured bacterium. Its description in RNAcentral is "partial small subunit ribosomal RNA". It matches the Rfam family "Bacterial small subunit ribosomal RNA", at positions 26 to 285 of the family's 1533-position model. The record is from RNAcentral.